RNAcentral lists this ribosomal RNA (445 nucleotides) under uncultured bacterium. RNAcentral's name for it is "partial 16S ribosomal RNA". It matches the Rfam family "Bacterial small subunit ribosomal RNA", at positions 354 to 796 of the family's 1533-position model. The record is from RNAcentral.
GUGAGGAAUAUUGGACAAUGGGCGCAAGCCUGAUCCAGCCAUGCCGCGUGCAGGAAGACGCAUCUAUGGUGUGUAAACUGCUUUUGUACGGGAAGAAACACUCCCUCGUGAGGGAGCUUGACGGUACCGUAAGAAUAAGGAUCGGCUAACUCCGUGCCAGCAGCCGCGGUAAUACGCAGGAUCCAAGCGUUAUCCGGAAUCAUUGGGUUUAAAGGGUCCGUAGGCGGUUUAAUAAGUCAGUGGUGAAAGCCCAUCGCUCAACGAUGGAACGGCCAUUGAUACUGUUAGACUUGAAUUACAAGGAAGUAACUAGAAUAUGUAGUGUAGCGGUGAAAUGCUUAGAUAUUACAUGGAAUACCAAUUGCGAAGGCAGGUUACUACUUGUGGAUUGACGCUGAUGGACGAAAGCGUGGGGAGCGAACAGGAUUAGAAACCCCAGUAGUCC